UACAGAGGGGGCAAGCGUUAUUCGGAAUUAUUGGGCGUAAAGGGCGCGUAGGCGGCCUGACAAGUGGAAGGUGAAAUCCCUCGGCUUAACCGAGGAACUGCCUUCCAAACUGUUUGGCUUGAGUCCGGGAGAGGCGAGUGGAAUUCCCAGUGUAGCGGUGAAAUGCGUAGAUAUUGGGAGGAACACCGGUGGCGAAGGCGGUUCUCUGGGCCUUACCUGACGCUGAGGAGCGAAAGCGUGGGGAGCGAACAGG
RNAcentral lists this ribosomal RNA (253 nucleotides) under uncultured bacterium. RNAcentral describes it as "partial 16S ribosomal RNA". It matches the Rfam family "Bacterial small subunit ribosomal RNA", at positions 524 to 776 of the family's 1533-position model. The record is from RNAcentral.